This 497-nucleotide ribosomal RNA is filed under the name uncultured bacterium. RNAcentral's name for it is "partial 16S ribosomal RNA". It matches the Rfam family "Bacterial small subunit ribosomal RNA", at positions 28 to 507 of the family's 1533-position model. The record is from RNAcentral.
GAUGAACGCUGGCGGCGUGCCUAAUACAUGCAAGUCGAGCGAACAGACGAGGAGCUUGCUCCUCUGACGUUAGCGGCGGACGGGUGAGUAACACGUGGAUAACCUACCUAUAAGACUGGGAUAACUUCGGGAAACCGGAGCUAAUACCGGAUAAUAUAUUGAACCGCAUGGUUCAAUAGUGAAAGACGGUUUUGCUGUCACUUAUAGAUGGAUCCGCGCUGCAUUAGCUAGUUGGUAAGGUAACGGCUUACCAAGGCAACGAUGCGUAGCCGACCUGAGAGGGUGAUCGGCCACACUGGAACGGAGACACGGUCCAGACGCCUACGGGAGGCAGCAGUAGGGAAGCUUCCGCAAUGGGCGAAAGCUUGACGGAGCAACGCCGCGUGAGUGAUGAAGGUCUUCGGAUCGUAAAACUCUGUUAUUAGGGAAGAACAAAUGUGUAAGUAACUAUGCACGUCUUGACGGUACCUAAUCAGAAAGCCACGGCUAACUACGUG